AGCAGCCGCGGUAAUUCCAGCUCCAAUAGCGUAUAUUAAAGUUGUUGCAGUUAAAAAGCUCGUAGUUGAAUUUCGGGGUCAGCAGGUUGGUCGUGCCUCUGGUACGUACUGGUUUCGCUGAUUCCUCCUUUCUGAAGAACUGUAAUGUCAUUAAUUUGGUGUUGCAGGGAAACAGGACUGUUACUUUGAAAAAAUUAGAGUGUUUAAAGCAAGCUAACGCUUGAAUACAUUAGCAUGGAAUAAUGAAAUAGGACGUUUGAUCCUAUUUUGUUGGUUUCUAGGAUUGACGUAAUGAUUAAUAGGGAUAGUUGGGGGCAUUAGUAUUCAAUUGUCAGAGGUGAAAUUCUUGGAUUUAUUGAAGACUAACUACUGCGAAAGCAUUUGCCAAGGAUGUUUUCAUUAAUCAAGAACGAAAGUUAGGGGAUCGAAGACGAUCAGAUACCGUCGUAGUCUUAACCAUAAACUAUGCCGACUAGGGAUCGGGUGAUGUUAAUUUUUUAAUGACUCA
Molecule: ribosomal RNA, 508 nt
Filed under: uncultured fungus
Lineage: Eukaryota; Fungi
Description: SSU rRNA
Rfam family: Eukaryotic small subunit ribosomal RNA
Source: RNAcentral